Molecule: ribosomal RNA, 558 nt
Filed under: Triticum aestivum (bread wheat)
Lineage: Eukaryota; Viridiplantae; Streptophyta; Magnoliopsida; Poales; Poaceae
Description: partial small subunit ribosomal RNA
Source: RNAcentral
AUGCCUUCGCCGGGUCCGCCAUGGCCCGCUGUCGCUGGGUCACCCCGCUUCUAUUCUCUUCCUGGCUAUUCCCCUACCCGUAUUCCACCACCUAUCUGUCAUCUCCUCCGUGACCGCACCCCGUUCUCCGGCAGCCCGCCGUCGACAUCCUCCAGGGUCCGCCCGGCAUCGGCCAUGGCAUCGCCGGUGCUCAUCUCUGACACCGACCAGUGGAAAGCCCUCCAGGCGCACGUCGGCGCGAUCCACAAGACGCACCUGCGCGAUCUCAUGACAGACAUCGACCGAUGCAAGGCAAUGACGGCGGAAUUUGAAGGCGCCUUCCUGGACUACUCGAGGCAGCAGGCCACCACCGAGACCAUCGACAAGCUCUUCAAGCUGGCGGAGGCCGCAAAGCUCAAGGAGAAGAUCGACAAGCUCUUCAAGACUUUCAGAACUGGCUCAUGGAUUGGGGCAACUGGGAAACCAUUGACAAAUGUUGUCUCAGUUGGGAUUGGUGGUAGCUUACUUGGACCUCUGUUUGUGCAUACGGCUCUCCAGACUGACCCGGAAGCAGCAUAA